This 228-nucleotide small RNA is filed under the name Micromonospora maris AB-18-032. RNAcentral describes it as "Verrucosispora maris AB-18-032 Actinobacteria sRNA Ms_IGR-5". It matches the Rfam family "Actinobacteria sRNA Ms_IGR-5". Lineage: Bacteria; Bacillati; Actinomycetota; Actinomycetes; Micromonosporales; Micromonosporaceae. The record is from Rfam by way of RNAcentral.
ACACGGGAAAGGAGGUGGUCCAGACUUGUAUAGCAAUCGGACUCGUGAGGUGGCUGUCCGCUAGCCGCUGUCCUCGACAGUGACCGUCUGAUCCCAGGCGGGCAGUAAGAAGUCGUCGAGACCGUGUGGCAGCGGUGCGGCGAAACCACGACAAGCCACCCGACCCCCGGGGUGCCGACCCAGUCCAGUCGGCCCGCGUUCGCGCGGAAGCCCCGGGGGUCGCUUCAU